Molecule: RNA transcript, 4314 nt
Organism: Zalophus californianus (California sea lion)
Lineage: Eukaryota; Metazoa; Chordata; Mammalia; Carnivora; Otariidae
Gene: ZNF286A
Gene name: zinc finger protein 286A
Exons: 6
Source: RefSeq, a predicted model, not a curated record
GGGACGGAGAUCGGAAUAUUCAGAACCCGGAGCAGGUGGUGAUCAUGGAGACCGACUUGGCCGACAUGCCCGAGAAGAGAGCUCGGUCUUCCCAGGAUUCUCCCUUUUCCCAAGAGCGGAGCACAGAAGAGGGAGAAGUGCCAGCUCUGCACCUCACAGCCAGAUCCCAGGCAUCAGUGACAUUCAAGGACGUGGCCAUGGAUUUUACCCCAGAGGAGUGGGGGAAGUUGGAUCCUGCACAAAGGGAGGUGAUGCUGGAGAACUAUAGGAACCUGGUCUCGCUUUGGCUUCCAGUUUCCAAACCUGAGAACUACAAUUUGGAGAAUGGAAAAGAACCAUUGAUGCUUGAGAGAAAAGCCCCCAAAAGCAGCUAUUCGGACCUGGAGACUAAACCUGAGGGCAAAGAUUCAACUUCAGUGCAAGAUAUUUCCAAAGAAGAAUCAUGUCAGACUGUAAUAAUAGACAGACUGACAAGGAAUAGUGUCUAUGACUCCAACUUGGAAACAACUCUUGAAUGUGAAAAUUGGUUAGAGAAUCAGCAAGGAAAUCAGGAGAGACACUUGAGAGAAAUGUUCACCCACGUGAAUUCACUCCCUGAAGAAAGAGCUCAUGAACAUGAUGUAUACUGGAAAAACUUGAGUCAGAAGUCUGUUCUUCUCACUCAAGACAGAGCUCCCAAAGGAUCCUAUGCCUUCCAUACACUUGAAAAAAGGUUGAAACAGAAAUCAAACUUAAUGAAAAAGCAAAGAACCUGUAAAGAAAAAAAGCCUCAUAAAUGCAACGAUUGUGGUGAACUCUUCACGUACCAUUCAGUGCUUAUUCGACACCAGAGAGUGCAUACUGGAGAGAAGCCCUAUAGCUGCAGUGAAUGUGGGAAAUCUUUUAGCCACAGAGCUAAUUUAACUAAACAUCAGAGAACUCAUACUAGAAUUCUGUUUGAAUGCAGUGAAUGCAAGAAAGCCUUCACAGAAAGCUCAUCCCUUGCGAUACAUCAGCGAAUUCACGUUGGAGAGAGACCGUAUGAAUGCAGUGAAUGUGGAAAAGGUUUUAAUCGAAGUACACAUCUUGUGCAGCAUCAGUUGAUUCAUACUGGAGUGAAGCCUUAUGAAUGUAAUGAAUGUGAUAAAGCUUUCAUUCAUUCAUCAGCUCUCAUUAAACAUCAACGAACUCAUACUGGAGAGAAACCCUAUAAAUGUCAGGAAUGUGGGAAAGCCUUCAGCCAUUGUUCAUCCCUUACUAAACAUCAGAGAGUUCAUACUGGAGAAAAACCAUAUGAAUGUAGCGAAUGUGGAAAAACCUUUAGUCAGAGCACACAUCUUGUUCAGCAUCAGAGAAUUCAUACUGGAGAGAAACCCUACGAGUGUAACGAAUGUGGGAAAACCUUCAGCCGGAGCUCAAAUUUUGCUAAACAUCAAAGAAUUCAUAUUGGAAAGAAACCAUACAAAUGUAAUGAAUGUGGGAAAGCCUUUAUUCAUUCAUCAGCUCUUAUUCAACACCAGAGAACUCAUACUGGGGAGAAGCCCUACAGAUGUGAUGAAUGUGGGAAAAGCUUUAAGUGCAGUUCAUCCCUCAUCAGACAUCAAAGAAUUCAUACUGAAGAGCAACUCUGAAAAAUUACUGAAUGUGAAGAAAUGUAAGUUGGCUUUAUCACUGUGUUAAAAUACCUGAGUGUUUAGGUGGAACACCCAUAAAAUGCUGCUUGAGGACCAAUUCUUUAUGCGUCUACUUUUACUUGCAUAACACGUAGUUUUGAGCCAUAGACACAAUGUUCCUUAUAUCCAUUGAUUUGAUCAUUACGAAAGCUUCUGGCCAGGGAUCUCAAAUUUUGAUCUCCAUCCCCCACCACCACUACCAAAUAACCCUUUCAUGGAAAUUCAAGAAAUCCUUGGGAGUGGAUAGCAAUCUGAUCCUUGUGAAGUCUGGUUCCUCCCUCUCUUUGUCACAUGAAAGCCUUGUUACAGCAUCUCACUCGGGUCCUAGUCAAGAAGGAGAACUUGGGACUCUGAAGCAACUCUGGGACACGAGAACACACCUUCCUGUCAAAUAUGGAAAAUAGUUCACAGGACAGUAACUCACUGGAGGAUAACCGCUUCCCUCUAUGAAGAAGAGGUUGCCGUUUCUCUGGCUUUCAUGUCUACCUACAUUUUUUGUUGUUAUUGUUCUCCCUAUAUGUUUAUUGGGCUAUAUCCCAGAGCCCUAAAAAAGGUAGAAAAGGCAUGAAACCACAUGGUAAAUUACAUGGGUGACCAAAAACCAGGGAUGAGAUUGGAAACACAGGAAGCAAAAGUUCAAAUAUUUAGCAAAACAGUAUACGAAUGUCAGUUUUUAUUGUUACUCUAUGAAAAGAAGAGUAUUGAAAAGAUAGAAGGGAAAUAGUUACAGGUUUCUUCUUUCUCUUCUCCUAAAUUCUAUCCUUUAUGAACAUUCAACAACCAGUCCAUUCUCUUGCCUUCACAUUAUCUCUGUUAUUUCUUAAAAUUCCUUCUCCGUAAACCUUAGUUGUAUUAUUGAGAAGUAGAGGAAGAGAGUUUAGAGCAAGAUCAUUAAGGAUGAAUGGGUUAAAUCCAGCCGUGAUGGAAAUUAAAACAAUAGGAAAUGGGGCUGAAAGGACUGGGAGAGGUUUUGGAAAGAACAAAAAACAUGUCGGGGGGGGUGGAGGUGGGUGGGAAGGCUCAGGGACUGAGGUCAGGGUAGGACGCUGACAGGAACAAGGUAAAAGGAAAGGUGCUCACUCAGCUCUCUUCACCUUAAUACUCAGUAUUCAUGUUCAAAAGUAGGAACUGACAGACUAUGACCUGGACCCACGACCAAGUCCGGCCUUCUGCCUUUAUCUCUAAAUGAUGUUUAGUUGGAUCUUGACCACACUCGUUCAUUUACGUUUAUUUGUGCUACAACGUCAGAGUCGAGUAGUUGCAGCAGACAUUAUGUCCCCCAAAGCCUAAAAUACUUGAUAUUUCUCUAUGUGCCAAAUGCUUUUGAGUGAAGAAAAAUUCAUCAUUUGGGGGCCAAAAUUUGACUCACAAAAUAAGAUCACUUGGACUUAGCUGAGUUUGAAUUCUACCACCUCCAAUUAGCAUUUAUUUGAUCUUACUACUUGCUGGCUCUAAGUGUCAGGGUCUUCAUCUAUAAGAUGGAAAUAAAUCAUCCCUCUCUUGUAAGGUUGUGAGGAUUAAAUAAGACAAAGCAUGUCAAAGACCUCACAAUAAAUUAAACAGCUAGUCUCUAUAUGUAUAUGUUUGUAAAUAUAUACAUAUAUAUGUAUUUUAAUGAAACAUCAGUCCAUUUGGGCUGCUACAACGAAAUAACUCACCACAGACUGAGUGGCUUUAUAAAGAUUCUCACAGUUCUGGAGACUGAGGAGUCCCAAGAACAAGGCACCACCAGGUUCAGUGUGUGGUGAGGGCCUGUUUUCUGGUUCAGGAACCACCAUCUUUUUGUUAGGUCUUCACAUGGUAAAAGGGUAAGGGGGCUCUGGAGCCUCUUUUACAAGGGAAACUAACCCUUUUCCUGAGAAUUCUGCCCUCAUGACCUAUUCACCUUCCAAAGGCCCCACCUCCUAGUACCAUCACACUGGGGAUUAGGUUUCAAGAUAAAUUUGGGGAGGUACAAACUCAACCUGCAAUAAGUGGCUAAGCAUCAAUCAGGUAGAAAUUAAGAAUGAAUGUGUCGGAAACCUGGGUGGCUCAGUCGUUAAGCAUCUGCCUUCGGCUCGGGUCAUGAUCCCAGGGUCCUGGGAUCGAGUCCCACAUUGGGCUCCCUGCUCAGCGGGAAGCCUGCUUCUCCCUCUCCCACUCCCUCUGCUUGUGUUCCCUCUCUAGCUAUCUCUCUCUCUCUGUGUCAAAUGAAUAAAUAAAAUCUUAAAAAAAAAAAGAAUGUGUCUUCCGCACCUUUUGUUUACCGAUCAAGAACUGUCACCAUCCUACUGUCGAGCGUAUCAUAGAGAAGGGGCUUCUCUUUCUGCUCUUGCUUCCAUCUGGUGCUGCUCCCUACACAGCUUCCUUGAGACCCUGGGAAAUCAGCUUUUUUUUCCCAAGUUCCCUUAACCAGGAACUAUCUGAUAGUUUCAGAGACUCAAGUUUGUAAUUUAAUUGCAGUUUAAAUAGCGUUAAGAGACUUGCUCUGAGUUAGUUUUACUGGGAACCCUGGCCCUUGACAUUUCAAUAUUUGUUCUGUUUAUGUUUGAUGUUCAAUGUGACUAUUUGUACUCCGACAUGAAUUUUGGAAGUUUUAAUGUUCCGCUUUUCAAAUGUUUUUGGUUACCUAUAAACUAAAUUUGACUGCUUUUAUUGGUCCACUGUCAAUAAAGAUGUUUAU